Cucurbita pepo subsp. pepo (vegetable marrow) is the source of this 419-nucleotide long non-coding RNA. RefSeq lists it as uncharacterized. The record is from RefSeq and is a predicted model, not a curated record. NCBI's taxonomy places the organism in Eukaryota, Viridiplantae, Streptophyta, Magnoliopsida, Cucurbitales, Cucurbitaceae.
ACAUGCAAUUUAAUUCAGUAGAUAAGAUGGACCACCCCCUCUGCCUGUAUGGUUGUGACAUAUGAGAAAGAUGUGGGACUACAAGACCCGAUUAAGUUAAAUGCCAAGUGGUGAGAACAAGAAACAACGUGAAAAAUAAUAGAUACCCAGAAUGUGAUGUCAAUGUGAAAUGGAAUUAGAAUCAAAAGAUGCCAGAGCAAGGACGUCGUUACCAAAAUUCUCUCGCCAGAAAGAUGGCUGUUCCCGGAUCCUAAAAGCUGGGAGUCCCUGGCUCUUGAGCACUCAUCUGGAUUUUAACCACUACUUCCUCAGUUGUUAUGCAACGACUCAGCAGCCACAAGCACCAAGCUACAGGUCCUGAGGAGGUCAAUGGCAGCCCAGGAACGCUACAACACGAAGCAAGUCCAUUACAAGGAGCA